UCAAUGCGAGCUGAGCAGACAGGGCUGCAAGGAAAUCUGGCGCGGUUCAAUACCUCGUCUACCCUGGGUUCCAGUAUCUAAUUUUUUUUACUGACAAACUCAUUUCUCUACCGGGACAGGAUGCUGUGCUGGCUGGAAGUUCCAUUUCUACAGCAAGAAUCCUAUCUGGAAACACAGAAGUUGUCCUCUAGCCACAGCAGCUCGAACUUUUUUGAUUGUUGUUGCUGCUUUCUCCCAUCACCCCCACCCCCUUUUGACAAAGAUCCAACUGUAAAAAGUCUUACGUAACAGUUCAGGACUACUUCGGUUCUUUUACUGGUAUAUCAAGAGGCCUCAAGAGGACUAUGAAAACAAUUACAUCUCUAAGUUGGAGCAAUGUGGGUUUCAGUAUUUCGUAGUACCUCUGGAAAAGGAAAGAAGUCAUCCAUUGCAAAUCUCCAGCCCCAGAUGUUCCAGCACUCCCUACACCCACCAGAGAUAAUGGCAGAGAUUCAUGACUACCCAAGGACCCAACAACAGCCUUUGAAUGCAACUAUCUUUUCAUCAAUUGUAAACAAGUCCUAAACUCUUGGCUCCAUAGGGAGUCCCUACCAAGUCAGUAUAAACUCUGUAAUAGGGGCAGAGGUCAAGGGGAUGAGCUCAGCCUAAGCUCUGAAUCUCAUCCCACCCCUACCCUGUUCAAAAGAAUCCUUAUCAGAAGAGAACUCCCCAGCAAAAGGCCACAUUCAGAGACCUGAUGUAGCAGUGAUCUAGCAGAUUCAGCUGAAGCUUUGUAAACAGGCUCUUGGAACAGUUAUGAAUGUGAAAUAUCUAAAUCACUAACGAAGUGUUAUGAAGGAAAGGGGACAUGGGGACAUAAAGGGGGAAACAAGGGAGAUCUGUGCAUUUAUCUUCAUUUGUUUCAGGAAAGAAUCUGUCUGACAUAUAGUGGACUAAUCCUGAACCUGAGCCACAGAAGAAAUCUCUUUGGGAACCUAUUUUUUGUGUCCAAAAUUCUUUGUGUCCAAAUUUGUGUCCAUUCUAAUUGUAUGCAAAAGAGCCCAAAUGACACCAAAAAAAUAGUGUAUUCUUCUGUAUAUAUACAAAAAAGCCCAUUAUAUAUAAGUCAUUAUACUGUUUUAAGCUUUCCCAUUAGCAUUUGAGACUUGCCACACUCAAGAGAGCUAGAGACAGAACAGGAGUUAAAACAACAGCUCUCAAACCUCAGGUAUUUCUCCGCUAUGUACUUUGGGGUGAGUCUUUUAACUUCUCAGGCCUCAAUGUUUUCAUCUGUAAGAUACGGAUAGUGUCUUUUUAAACAAGUUUUACGAGUGCUUGCAUGGGAAGCACUUAGUGUGUAAUAAGUAUUAGUUAUUAGUGGUAGGAGUAGCCACAUAUUAUCAAGUUUUGUGUCCAUCUUCCUGACUAAACCAGAGCCCCUUGGGGACACAAACUGUGUCACAGCUUGGCACACAUCAAAGAGAAAAAGGGAAGGGAGGAAAGAACAAAAGACUAGGUAUUACCAAGUCAAACUUAAAAUUACAUAAUUUUAUAUGAUAUAAUCCUUCUCACUCUUACUGAAUAUAUGAAAGUGCCUGGCACAUAAGGGAUACCCAGUAAAUGUUAAUUUUCCUUCCUUCCUUGAUCUCUAACAUCCCACCUUAAAUUUACUU
Molecule: long non-coding RNA, 1652 nt
Organism: Neofelis nebulosa (Clouded leopard)
Lineage: Eukaryota; Metazoa; Chordata; Mammalia; Carnivora; Felidae
Exons: 3
Source: RefSeq, a predicted model, not a curated record